Molecule: long non-coding RNA, 220 nt
Organism: Talpa occidentalis (Iberian mole)
Lineage: Eukaryota; Metazoa; Chordata; Mammalia; Eulipotyphla; Talpidae
Exons: 3
Source: RefSeq, a predicted model, not a curated record
CCCAAGGCCAUUCAGAGCUAACAGGACAAUGUGGUGGUCCCAUAUCCAGGCCCUGCAUCAGACAGACCACCUUUAAGUCCUGGCCCUGUGACUUACCACCUGGGAAUGAGGAGGAAUGAGUACAAGCCACACACUGUAGCAACAGGCACCUACAUUAAAAAGAAACUCACCUUGAAUUUGGUUCAUUAGUCACCAAAGCUUGUGGGAUGUAGUUUCAUAU